This 1389-nucleotide long non-coding RNA is filed under the name Oryctolagus cuniculus (rabbit). RNAcentral's name for it is "lncRNA (ENSOCUG00000038352.1)". Lineage: Eukaryota; Metazoa; Chordata; Mammalia; Lagomorpha; Leporidae. The record is from RNAcentral.
CUCCUUCUGAGCUGUCUUUGUGACUCAGCGCCUCUCAGAGAAUCUCAGUGCCCCCAGAACUCGGUGCACCUGGGAAGCCCCUGGGGGAGGGGCGCUCAGGCCUGGCCCCCUGCCUGGAGCCCGAGGCUGGGGCUCUGCUUCCCUCUGUUGGGGUGGCUGCCUCACACCGCGUCCUGGCAGUGUGUGGUUAAGUCUACAGACAAGGACACCAUGGCGGCCAAGGGAAACUGCCCGUUCCUCUGGCCCCGAUGGCCUGCGCUUGCUCUAACGACACCCUGUGUGAGUAAGGGGAGGGUCGGUGCUGCCCACAGCUCAAGAUGAGGGGCGUGACGUUGAGUAGACAAGUCCCCCAUGGGGCAAACAUUGCAUGGUGGCUGGGCCGGGCCUGCUGGGCCCCUGGGGCGAGGGCGGAUGGGGACACCCUGGGCCCUGCCUGUCUGCCACCAGCUCACCGGCUGUUUCUGUGUUUUCAACCCCACACAGCCAUCCGUCAGCACAGACGUGGACAGGCCACCACAGGGGUGGCGUUCGGCUGCUGUUCCUGUGGCCUGAUCGCUGCAGGGAGACAGGCCUGGCCGGCGGGGGCAGAGAAGAGAGACCCACGGCUGAAAGGAGGCACAGGCAGGGUGCACCUCGUGCUCCUGAGGAGGAGCCUCGUCCCCAGCAUCCCGGCUUCUCUCUGACAACCGGCGCGAGAGCUGGGUUGCAGCAGGAGCUGAGCAGCAUGCGGGAGGAGCAGUGGGCUGCUUCCCUUCCGAGAGCGUUUCCAGGACAGACAGAGCAGCGGGCUGCUUCCCUUCCGAGAGCGUUUCCAGGACGGACAGAGCAGUGGGCUGCUUCCCUUCCGAGAGCGUUUCCAGGACGGACAGAGCAGCGGGCUGCUUCCCUUCCGAGAGCGUUUCCAGGACGGACAGAGCAGCGGGCUGCUUCCCUUCCGAGAGCGUUUCCAGGACGGACAGAGCAGCGGGCUGCUUCCGAGAGCGUUUCCAGGACGGACAGAGCAGCGGGCUGCUUCCCUUCCGAGAGCACUUCCAGGACGGACAGAGCCUCCGAGAGGCUGCCUGGUUCUCUCCUGUUCAGGUGGCCACGGGACUGAAGGAACGGAGCUUGGGGAGCCACAGGCUCUGCCACGCAGUGCGUGGCCUCCUCACCAGCUACGGCUGGCUUUCCAGCUCUGAGCCAGCUGCUGGGAGCUUAUGCAGAGAGUGGUGAAACCCAGACUGGCUCCCGCUGCUGACACGACCCCCGGAGUGGGCGGGAGGACUCUCAGGCCACCAAACAGCCCAUUGAACGGAAAUUGGCACAAAUACUACAAACAAGGGGAUCGCUUCCUGGGCUAUAAAAGCAGAUCAUAAUAAAACUGAUGAACUUCCCUGGUCUCUGAGAUGA